This 215-nucleotide long non-coding RNA is filed under the name Hordeum vulgare. RNAcentral's name for it is "long non-coding RNA (HVUL_LNC007107)". Lineage: Eukaryota; Viridiplantae; Streptophyta; Magnoliopsida; Poales; Poaceae. The record is from RNAcentral.
GCGUACACCGUGCCGCCGUGGAAGACACAAUCAUGACGCCGUCGACCGGCAACUCGAGAUGCCAGGUGCUACGUACUCAUCAGCUCGUUGCUUUGCUAAUUUGCUUUCUUCUGUAAUAGUAUAUGCAACACAUCUUCAUUAUUGCUACGUACUCACCACGGCUAAUUUGCUACGUGUCGUCUUUCGAUAUGGGAAAGCGGUGUUCUCUAUAAGAU